This 2339-nucleotide long non-coding RNA is filed under the name Canis lupus familiaris (dog). RNAcentral describes it as "lncRNA (ENSCAFG00805019155.1, ENSCAFG00845024818.1)". The record is from RNAcentral. Lineage: Eukaryota; Metazoa; Chordata; Mammalia; Carnivora; Canidae.
AGUCCUUAAUCCAUUUUGAGUUAAUUUCUGUGUGUCAUGUAAGACAGUGGUCUAAUUUCAUUCUUUGUAUGUGGCCGUCCAAUUUUCCCAACACCAUUUGUUGACUUUCUUCUUUUUCUUUUGUAAUUGCUCUGCCAAGGACUUUCAAGACUAUGUUGAAUUAAAGUGGAGAGAGUAGGCAUCCUUGUCUUGUUCCCAAUAUUACAGAAAAGCUUUCAGCUCUUCACUGUUGAGAAGGAUUUUGGCUGUGGACUUGUCAUAUUUAGCCUUUAUUAUGUUGAGGUAAUUUCUCCCAUUCCUGCUUCAUUUGAGUUAUCAUAAAUGAUGAUGAAUUUUGUUAAGUACUUUUUCUGCAUCCACUGAAAUGACCAUGAUUUUUACCCUGCAUUUUAUUAAUAUAGUAUAUUACAAUAACUGAUUUGUGGAUAUUGAACCAGGCUUACAGCCCUGAACAAAUCCCAAUUGAGGGGAACAUUGCCUUCUCAGCUGACUGAGUGUGCUUUUUAACCAGACUUCAAUGGGGCAUAAGACCUGAAACUACAACACAUCCUGGUGAUAUUUCUUGUGACUCAGAUGAUCAAGUCCCUUUCUGUAGUCACUAUGUUUCCAACUCUAAAAUCCAGUUCCUGAGUUUAAGUUCUAAAUGUUCCUUUAUUCCUGAAAGUCUGCACUGCCUAAAAGAUGGUAGCUAACUUCUUUCAUGACUUCAAUGGCUUUUCAUUCUUUACUUCUCAUUAGGUAUCUAAAUCUUUCCCAUCUACCUCUAUAAAUACUCAUAGCCAGCGUUUUUAAUCCUUAUGUGUCUUCAGUGUGUUGAAACCUUUCCAGAUUUGGUAGAAUUCCGAAAUGUUUUCUUUCUGAUAGGGUUACACCGCUAUAGACAUUAAAAUUACAUUCUACUGAAUUCUGCAUAUCACAGACUUGUCUAGGAUUCCUAGGUUAUUCUUGUGACUAAGCACUUUACAGGAAGGCCCACACUGAACAGCCCCACCUAAACACAAACUUGUUUUUAGUACUUCACUCUUAAAUAUAGACAAAUAAUCAAAUACCAUUGACCAUUUGAGGCAAGUCUCUAACAAAAAAAGACAGAGGACAACAAACAUCAAAAAGGACUUAAAAGAAAUAAAGAUUAUACAGGAAGAAAAAAAUAGUAUCUUCAAAGAAAUACAAGAAAACAUUUACAUCCAGGUGCAAAAACAGGAUGCUAUUGAUAUUUUUUAAAAAUUAAGACAUCUAGGUGGAGUAGGAAGAUCCUAGGUCACCUUGUCCUACGCAUACAACUAGGUAACAUCAACAUCAGCAUAAAUAACCCAGAAAAUGACCCAAAAACUGACAGAACAGACUCUCUACAGCUAAAUGGAGAGAAGAGGUCACACUGAAGAAGGAAGGAAGGGUGGAGACAUGGUCAGGAGCAAAAUGACCCUUGGGAGUGCUCAUGGAAGGAAGAGAUGCAGCCAGCUGGAGGGAAAACAGAAUCUCACCAAGCACCCAGGCAUGGAGAAACUGCACGGGGAAGACAACUCCCCCUAACAUUUGGCUUUGAAAAUCAGCGGGGUCUAAUUUCACAAGUUCUUACAAUCAGAAGGACUUAAGACCUAGAACUAAUAAAAAUCAGCAGGUUGUACUCUGGGAGACUCUGGAGGGCUUUGGAAACUGAGUCCCUAUCCUUAAAGAGACAGCUUAACAAAUAGCCCCCAAAGAGAGCAGAGAAAGAGCAGUUUGAAAAUGCCUGGGGUAUACAGGGAAGAGAGUUAUUUAUUACUCUCAGAGCAUGUGCUGGAGGGUCAGGAAUCUUUAGGAGACUUCUCCAGGAACAAAAGACCUGGUGGGUGCCAUUUCCCUCUGCCAAACCCUAGCCUAACACAUGGACACCUGCAGGAACCAACACAGUGCCAACACUCUCCACCUAGCCGGCUAACAGUGCCCCUGCCCCCAUAUUCUCUGUGGACAGGCCCCGUCUUGCCAGGCCUCAGCUCCAGGACCCCUCAACCUCCAGGACCUGACAAACCCUGCUAACACUGCACAGACAUCCAGCCCUGGCAUCCUCCUGCAGACCUGCCUCCUCCAAUAUGCCCUUGGCUGGAGCCCAUCCAAAGCAGUGCCACAAGCCUGGCAUUGUGCAAGCAGCCCUGAUAGGGGCCAGCACCAACCAAAGUGACUCCUGCUCCAGAGACAGGGGAAGAUAACCACAUACACAAGUCCAACUGCAGCCCCAGUAGUUAACUGAAGGAAGACAUCUGGUCUGAUUACAGGCCCCAACCACCAAAGAAAGUUUCUCAGGGGACAACAAGGAGAAGGGACCCUGUAGUUCCUGACUACCACAUCUCUGGCAAACACAC